GGGCAGGCAGGGACCGCCGCUGUUGCGAGGCGCCCCCGCCACGGGAGCGCGUCCGUGAGGGGCGGCUGAGGGAGCCGCGGGGCUCGGGCCUUAUCGUUCUCUACAGCUGCCUGAGGGGAGCGAGUAGCCAGGAUAGGGCAAGAGGAAACGGCCUCAAGUUGCACCAGGGGAGGUUUAGGUCGUACGCUAGGAAAAAAUAUUCUUCCCUGGAAGGAUGGUGGAGCACGGGAACGGGCUGCCCGGGGAGGCGGUGGAGUCAUCGUCCCUGGAAAUGUUCAAAGGGCGUGUGGAUGUAGCACUUGAGGACAGGUUUUAGUGGUGAACGCGGUGGUGGGGCUGGGCCGGUGGUUGGGCUGGAUGAUCUUCAAGGACUUUUCUAGCCUUAACGAUUCUGUGAUUCUGUGAAUAAUGAGCUUCUGCUGGCUUUCUGCGAAAAGCGGCUUUGAAUAGGAUGCUGGAUUCUGUUCAGAGCUAAUAAGCUUACAGAUGCAUCUUAAUAACAAGAGUCAUGUCUUAAAUUUUCUCUCAUUUUCUUGGUAUGUGGCAGAAAGCUGCUGUUACCUUGGAACUCAUUCUGCUGACAUACUUUUGUACUCUUUUUAAUGAGAUCUUGUAAUUGCUUCCAUAUAUUUCUUUAAAAAUAGCUUCUAACAAAAUCAUAAGGAGAGGAAAUCCUGGAAAGAACUCAGCCUCCUGCAGGGUACAUGAAGAGCAUUUCAUAGAGGACUUACUAUCUUGCAUUUCUCUGCCUCCUGUUUCUUGUCAGUGGAAGACCAUUUCCCUAAUUUAAGGGAGAAUCCCUGCAAAUGGUUAGCCUGCCCAAAAGCCCUUGUAGCUACUCACUGACUUUGACCUGAUUCUUGUAAUUUUGUUGUUAUCACUCUGUAGUCAGUAGCAACAGAGAAAUUGACUUUAAUAGGAGUAAUUUUUUAAGGGAGAGCAUUUUAAGAUUCCAUUUUCAAUGCCUAUUUUAAAGAACAUACAUCUCCAUUUAAAAGAAGUAUGUUUCAAAAAAAAAAAAGUUUUAAAAAUUUCCUGGAGCACAGAGUUUUCAUAGUAAUUCUAAAGCCCCCUCUCCCGCUUUCAUGAAUAGUACAACUUUUCUCACAGACUGGAAUUCAUUUCUGCACAGAAGCUUUUUUAAGGAAUUAAAUGGGGUUUAUGAGAGCCUUAAUCCUGAUUCUGGCUCUUUGUGUGGUGUUGGAUUUCAUAGAGUGGAUUUCAGACAAAAGAGACUAACAGAGUUAACAUUUAAUCUCUUUUUGAAACACUGAGAACUUUCUGGUCUUGUUAGAUUCUGAAGUGAUGUUUCAUAUACAAAAGUUUUUUGUGUGUCUUGUAGGCUGGAUCACGAUUACUAGAUGACUUGCAUGAUGUUGUCAGCAGUGCCUUUGGGAGCUCUCAUCCCUGCUAUUUAAAAGAUCUAGUAGUUGAUAAAAUGUGUAGUUUACCUUGCCCUUUGUAUUAAUAGGUUAAAUUCUUUUAUCUUCAGUGCCUGAAGCAUAUGUAGUCUAAUAGAAGGGUACGAGGCUGCAUGUAGUUAAGGUUCAUUAUCAUUAUUUGAAGAUCAUCUCUCUUUUGAUCCAGUUUCACUCUGGUAAAACUCACUUUAUUCUAUUUUCACUGCAUUAAGAUUUAAGAUUAAGAUACCUUGUUCUUUUGAAGUCACAUAAGGUAUGAAUUGCAACCUUCUGUGUUGAAGUAAGAGACUGGGGAAUAAAUAGGGUUUGAUAUUUAUCUGGUGCUGGUAUAAGGGUGAGGCAUUCCUACUGCUGGAGCAAUCUCUUUGGUUCAUGGAGAAUCUGGGGAGAUUCUGUUUGAAUGAUGUCAACAUUUAGAUAAUGCUGGCUGUAACUUGACCAUGUUGAUGUGCUGAAUUUUGAGCAAGAGCAAACCAAGGCAUAACUUGCUAGCAUCCCCAAGAACUGUGUAGUGAAGCUCAGCAAUUUUGUGCAUUGAGGGGAGGGGUAUUUCAUCCUACUUUCAAAGUUUUCUACCUUCAUUUUAAUACUUCCUGGAGAAUUUACUUCAACUUUUGUGUGGUUUCUUUUCUCUUGGUCAAAAAUCAAACAUAACCUCUUGGCAGCAUUUCUCUAGCUGGAGUACAGUCUUUUGCCAGGAGGAAUGUGAUGAGUCAUGAUGUGUGACUGGAAUAGCUGUGCUGUUAAAAUUGCUGAGAGUGGAUGGAGUUCCACCCACAAAACUGUACUUAGGUUCUUGAAUAUAUUUGAUCUGUGGCAGCAGAAACAAGAGACUCUUAGAAUGAAUUGUAGUGGCAAAAGCAUUCAUCUGCAUGUUAGUGUACGUGCACUAACUUCUUACCAUGGUAUAUACCAGAGUCUCUGUACCUGCAAAGCCUUUCUGGUUUAACUUAGCCUUGAUUUUUUGGCUUGGCUUGAUGAAUAGCUUUCAUGUUUUUGUUGUAUUAUAGAUGCAAAAAGCAAGUAUUUAAAUUAUAAUGAAGAGAACACCUGCCUGGUUAACCCAACCUGCGUGUACUGCAAAGAGGAUACCGAAGUCUACACAAACUGACAUCCCUACAUUUCUUGUUGUGCCAUUUAUUUCUUACUUAAUUGAGGGAAUGAAGGUGACGUAACCCUGUUUGUAAGGAGUUUCAGUUUACGUGUUUUAUCUGUAAAGGUUAGAAAUCUAUUAAAUUAUUUGCAUAACAGCAAAGUCAGAAUAAAGGAUUGUUUCAUCCCAGUGCUCGUGGUGGUUCUCCAAGAUUUACUGUUUUUUGUAAAGCACCUUUCAUGUGAAGGUAUUGUUUCUAUUCAGAUCCUGGCAAAAAGAAGAGGUACACGUAUCAGGACAAUUGCCCACAGAGAGAGUUUGGAGUCCUAACCUGCUCCAACAGAGCCAACAACAGAAGUUCAACUGACUUUAGCCACACAGAUUCAGACCCUGAAAGACCAACACAAGAAAAAAAAAAUGUGUGAAAAGGUACACAAGAGAAAAAGAGAGGGCAGGUCUGCCUGCCUUGAAACAGAUGUAUAUUUUAAAAUGUAAUUUUAAUUAUAGAUUUACACAUUUCAACCAUAUGAAAAAUGUAGAUAACAUGGAGAGUUCUUUCAUUAUUAAAACAAUUAAAGAUGGAUUUUUACAUAUUGAUCUCUGAAAUAAUUUAUUUUUUCUUAUUGUGAAAUUUGCACAUCUGCUGUGGUUCAGUAUUCUCCCAGCCUUCCCUGAUACUCUUUUGUAUCUGCUUACCACUGGCCUGUUGCACUGCAAUACUGGAUUUAGAGGGCUUAUCUUUCAUGGAUAGAAUCUGAGAUUCUUUCAGCAUAAUUGGGGAUAUGUAAACAAAAUAUUAACAACAUGUAUUAUGUAUCCAAAGUACCCAAAAGCAAGCUGUUGACAAGACAGACACAAAUGCUGGUACCUGGUAAGUAAUCAGAUACAAAGUUCCUAAGCACAAAUUCUUUGUAAGUACAAUAAUUUCUUGUUUUCUUAACAAGCUAUGUUCAUCCAAUGUCUUUAGCAUAGGUAUGGUCUUCAGAUGAUGCUGUGGAGCUUUUCCUCACUCUGAUUCUGUAUUUAAAGUUUACCAUCCCCUCUGCUCUGUGCUUGUUCUGUCCCUCCAGAAAUAGCCUUUGUGUUCACAUGAGCCCAGCUUACAUGGUACUGAGGUUGGGAUGUGGUCUUUGGUCAGCUGAACGGAAAAGCCAAAUGACAGAGUGUUAUGCAAACUUCCUGCUUUGAAAUUCUGCCUAGAAAUUGUCAAAACCACAGACAGACAGGUAGAGGCCAGCACAGGAUCUCAGCUGCUGAGGUCAUCCACUUCUUUGGAGAUUCUGUAGAUCAGAAAUAUUCCAGCCUCUACCACCUUUCCCCACGUGUCCAAGCGGUACUUACUGCAGAAUAGCAGCACUUUCAGCAAGGUGAAAUGGGCCUGAAAAAAAGAAAGUUGUUUACUAAGUAAGCAGUCCCAGAUUGAAUUGCCCCUGAACACUGUGAAUGAUGAAAUAAGUUGGUCAUGUAAAGACCUCAAAGACCUGUGCCCUUAGAGGUCUGGGCUAGAUUUUUGUCUUUGAUUUCUUAGGCUAAUGUAGUUUCUCAGUUCCUUUCCCAUGACAUUUCUAUUUCUGAUGUUAUCGAAGCAUAUGUGACAUACUUUCCCAUUCAGAUCUAGGGGUACAUAGUUCAUUAACUGGUGUCAUAUGUUAGCUAUACAACAUGCUUAAGAAUUUUCAUGGCUACUUUUUAAGCACAUGGGGAUUUUAGGGGAGGGGAAGAAAGUUCUUGGUGGGGAGUGUUGGUAAAGUUGCUUUUAUUAGAUAUGGAUGUUAGCCAGUAGCUUGACUUUAAAACUAAUGCUGACUGGGAUUUUCAUUUGGUUAAAGGCUUUUGCAUUCCCUUCUGCAUCUUGAUUUUUGUAUAAUGUGGCUUAUUAAAACAAAAUGAUUAUUACUCUUUAUAUGUUCCAAUAAAAGAUUUAAGCAACUUC
Long non-coding RNA from Cinclus cinclus, 4447 nucleotides. RefSeq lists it as uncharacterized. The transcript has 2 exons. Lineage: Eukaryota; Metazoa; Chordata; Aves; Passeriformes; Cinclidae. The record is from RefSeq and is a predicted model, not a curated record.